RNAcentral lists this transfer RNA (74 nucleotides) under Podarcis lilfordi (Lilford's wall lizard). Its description in RNAcentral is "tRNA.Lys". It matches the Rfam family "tRNA". Rfam says of the family: Transfer RNA (tRNA) molecules are approximately 80 nucleotides in length. Their secondary structure includes four short double-helical elements and three loops (D, anti-codon, and T loops). Lineage: Eukaryota; Metazoa; Chordata; Lepidosauria; Squamata; Lacertidae. The record is from RNAcentral.
GCCAAUGAUAGCUCAGUGGGUAGAGCAUGAGACUCUUAAUCUUAGGGUUGUGGGUUUGAGCCCCACGUUUUGCA